RNAcentral lists this ribosomal RNA (360 nucleotides) under Triticum aestivum (bread wheat). RNAcentral's name for it is "partial small subunit ribosomal RNA". The record is from RNAcentral. Lineage: Eukaryota; Viridiplantae; Streptophyta; Magnoliopsida; Poales; Poaceae.
AUGCAUCUGAGCGAGAACGAGGGGAUCGAGGGCGUGCGGUUCGCGGUGACUGGCGGGCAGGGCUUCGUCAGCGCUGCGCUAUGCCUGGAGCUGAUCCGCCGCGGCGCCCUGCAGGUCUGCUCCCUCGACGACUCGACCUGCGUGAGUGCUCCUCUUGGUCCCAGCAGCUCCUCGACGUCGGCGUCCGCUUCUUCCAAGGUUCUCUCCCGCACUCUCUUUAGCUUAAAUUACUGUGGUUCUUUUCUUCUGCCGCGCGUGAGACUUAAAUGCAGCGUCUCAGCGAAGAAGGUAAUUUGUUUUUCUGUCCAAUGCGUUGAAGCUACAAUGUACGUGCUUAGAAAAUUGUUUAGGGCGGUGUGA